RNAcentral lists this ribosomal RNA (253 nucleotides) under uncultured bacterium. RNAcentral describes it as "partial 16S ribosomal RNA". It matches the Rfam family "Bacterial small subunit ribosomal RNA", at positions 524 to 776 of the family's 1533-position model. The record is from RNAcentral.
UACGUAGGGGGCGAGCGUUGUCCGGAAUUAUUGGGCGUAAAGAGCUCGUAGGCGGUUUGUCGCGUCGGCCGUGAAAUCUCCACGCUUAACGUGGAGCGUGCGGUCGAUACGGGCAGACUUGAGUUCGGUAGGGGAGACUGGAAUUCCUGGUGUAGCGGUGAAAUGCGCAGAUAUCAGGAAGAACACCAACGGCGAAGGCAGCUCGCUGGGACGGUACUGACGCUGAGACGCGAAAGCGUGGGGAGCGAACAGG